Molecule: ribosomal RNA, 497 nt
Filed under: uncultured bacterium
Lineage: Bacteria
Description: partial 16S ribosomal RNA
Rfam family: Bacterial small subunit ribosomal RNA
Source: RNAcentral
GAUGAACGCUGGCGGCGUGCCUAAUACAUGCAAGUCGAGCGAAAAGACGAGGAGCUUGCUCCUCUGACGUUAGCGGCGGACGGGUGAGUAACACGUGGAUAACCUACCUAUAAGACUGGGAUAACUUCGGGAAACCGGAGCUAAUACCGGAUAAUAUAUUGAACCGCAUGGUUCAAUAGUGAAAGACGGUUUUGCUGUCACUAAUAGAUGGAUCCGCGCCGCAUUAGCUAGUUGGUAAGGUAACGGCUUACCAAGGCAACGAUGCGUAGCCGAGCUGAGAGGGUGAUCGGCCACACUGGAGCUGGGACGCGGUCCAGACGCCUACGGGAGGCAGCAGUAGGGAAUCUUCCGCAAUGGGCGAAAGCCUGACGGAGCAACGCCGCGUGAGUGAUGAAGGUCUUCGGAUCGUAAAACUCUGUUAUUAGGGAAGAACAAAUGUGUAAGUAACUAUGCACGUCUUGACGGUACCUAAUCAGAAAGCCACGGCUAACUACGUG